Molecule: transfer RNA, 72 nt
Filed under: Phytophthora infestans (potato late blight agent)
Lineage: Eukaryota; Oomycota; Peronosporomycetes; Peronosporales; Peronosporaceae
Rfam family: tRNA
About the family: Transfer RNA (tRNA) molecules are approximately 80 nucleotides in length. Their secondary structure includes four short double-helical elements and three loops (D, anti-codon, and T loops). Further hydrogen bonds mediate the characteristic L-shaped molecular structure. tRNAs have two regions of fundamental functional importance: the anti-codon, which is responsible for specific mRNA codon recognition, and the 3' end, to which the tRNAs corresponding amino acid is attached (by aminoacyl-tRNA synthetases). tRNAs cope with the degeneracy of the genetic code in two manners: having more than one tRNA (with a specific anti-codon) for a particular amino acid; and 'wobble' base-pairing, i.e. permitting non-standard base-pairing at the 3rd anti-codon position.
Source: Rfam by way of RNAcentral
ACCCUUUUAGCUCAGUGGUCGAGCACUGGCUUUGAAAGCCACUGGUCGGUGGUUCAAAUCCACCCGGGCGCA